RNAcentral lists this ribosomal RNA (299 nucleotides) under Laribacter hongkongensis. RNAcentral's name for it is "partial 16S ribosomal RNA". It matches the Rfam family "Bacterial small subunit ribosomal RNA", at positions 311 to 602 of the family's 1533-position model. The record is from RNAcentral. Lineage: Bacteria; Pseudomonadati; Pseudomonadota; Betaproteobacteria; Neisseriales; Aquaspirillaceae.
CACUGGGACUGAGACACGGCCCAGACUCCUACGGGAGGCAGCAGUGGGGAAUUUUGGACAAUGGGGGCAACCCUGAUCCAGCCAUGCCGCGUGUCUGAAGAAGGCCUUCGGGUUGUAAAGGACUUUUGUCAGGGAGGAAAUCCCUAAGGUUAAUACCCUUGGGGGAUGACAGUACCUGAAGAAUAAGCACCGGCUAACUACGUGCCAGCAGCCGCGGUAAUACGUAGGGUGCAAGCGUUAAUCGGAAUUACUGGGCGUAAAGCGUGCGCAGGCGGUUUGAAAAGUCAGCUGUGAAAGCC